CUAUGGCAUGUAGGGGUGCUGUGCGGUCUUUUUCAUGAUGAUGAAUAAUAAAAAAAUUUUUAAAAUUUUAUUUUAGAUCUGAAAUAAUGUAUAUUAGAUCUGAAAUUAAAAUUUUGAUCAUUAGAUGAUUGAUUAUAAAAAUAUUUUAUAAAAUUAAAAACUAUUUUCAAACAUCAAACCCUAAUCCAUAUCAGCCUAAA
Molecule: long non-coding RNA, 200 nt
Filed under: Elaeis guineensis (African oil palm)
Lineage: Eukaryota; Viridiplantae; Streptophyta; Magnoliopsida; Arecales; Arecaceae
Description: long non-coding RNA (EGUI_LNC038826)
Source: RNAcentral